Molecule: ribosomal RNA, 447 nt
Filed under: uncultured bacterium
Lineage: Bacteria
Description: SSU rRNA
Rfam family: Bacterial small subunit ribosomal RNA
Source: RNAcentral
AGAACGAACGCUGGCGGCAGGCCUCAAACAUGCAAGUCUAGGGGGUGCAGCAAUGCAUCACCGGCGGACGGGUGCGUAACACGUGGGAAUAUACCUUUUGGUUCGGAACAACUGAGGGAAACUUCAGCUAAUACCGAAUGUGUCCUUACGGAGAAAGAUUUAUCGCCAAAAGGAUUAGCCCGCGUCCGAUUAGCUAGUUGGUGAGGUAAUGGCUCACCAAGGCUCCGAUCGGUAGCUGUUCUGAGAGGAAGAUCAGCCACACUGGGACUGAGACACGGCCCAGACUCCUACGGGAGGCAGCAGUUGGGAAUCUUGGACAAUGGGGGAAACCCUGAUCCAGCCAUGCCGCGUGAGUGAUGAAGGCCUUCGGGUUGUAAAACUCUUUCGACGGGACGAUAAUGACGGUACCGUAGAAGAAGCUCCGGCUAACUUCGUGCCAGCAGCCGC